This is a non-coding RNA of Brassica napus (rape), 107 nucleotides long. The record is from Rfam. NCBI's taxonomy places the organism in Eukaryota, Viridiplantae, Streptophyta, Magnoliopsida, Brassicales, Brassicaceae.
AAACCAUGAUGAGGGCAUUGAGACCAAUAGCCCUUGAACCUCUCCCAUGCUUCACUGAAGCUCUCUAGACCUUUCUGUUGAAACCCGGAGAUUUCGUUCCUGAUCUU